Molecule: ribosomal RNA, 829 nt
Filed under: Vandijckomycella snoekiae
Lineage: Eukaryota; Fungi; Ascomycota; Dothideomycetes; Pleosporales; Didymellaceae
Description: partial large subunit ribosomal RNA
Rfam family: Eukaryotic large subunit ribosomal RNA
Source: RNAcentral
ACAGGGAUGCCCUAGUAACGGCGAGUGAAGCGGCAACAGCUCAAAUUUGAAAUCUGGCCUCUUUGGGGUCCGAGUUGUAAUUUGCAGAGGGCGCUUUGGCGUUGGCAGCGGUCCAAGUUCCUUGGAACAGGACGUCACAGAGGGUGAGAAUCCCGUACGUGGUCGCUGGCCUUCGCCGUGUAAAGCCCCUUCGACGAGUCGAGUUGUUUGGGAAUGCAGCUCUAAAUGGGAGGUAAAUUUCUUCUAAAGCUAAAUACUGGCCAGAGACCGAUAGCGCACAAGUAGAGUGAUCGAAAGAUGAAAAGCACUUUGGAAAGAGAGUUAAAAAGCACGUGAAAUUGUUGAAAGGGAAGCGCUUGCAGCCAGACUUGCCUGUAGUUGCUCAUCCGGGUUUUUACCCGGUGCACUCUUCUAUAGGCAGGCCAGCAUCAGUUUGGGCGGUUGGAUAAAGGUCUCUGUCAUGUACCUCCUUUCGGGGAGAACUUAUAGGGGAGACGACAUGCAACCAGCCUGGACUGAGGUCCGCGCAUCUGCUAGGAUGCUGGCGUAAUGGCUGUAAGCGGCCCGUCUUGAAACACGGACCAAGGAGUCUAACAUCUAUGCGAGUGUUUGGGUGUCAAGCCCGAACGCGUAAUGAAAGUGAACGGAGGUGGGAACCUUUCGGGGUGCACCAUCGACCGAUCCUGAUGUCUUCGGAUGGAUUUGAGUAAGAGCAUAGCUGUUGGGACCCGAAAGAUGGUGAACUAUGCUUGAAUAGGGUGAAGCCAGAGGAAACUCUGGUGGAGGCUCGCAGCGGUUCUGACGUGCAAAUCGAUCGUCAAAUUUGGCA